Molecule: transfer RNA, 71 nt
Filed under: Mugilogobius chulae (yellowstripe goby)
Lineage: Eukaryota; Metazoa; Chordata; Actinopteri; Gobiiformes; Gobiidae
Description: tRNA-Pro
Rfam family: tRNA
About the family: Transfer RNA (tRNA) molecules are approximately 80 nucleotides in length.
Source: RNAcentral
CAAAGAAUAGUUAAACUUUAAAAUGCUAGCUUUGGGAGUUAGUGGUGGGAGUUAAAAUCUCCCUUCUUUGA